RNAcentral lists this ribosomal RNA (654 nucleotides) under uncultured bacterium. RNAcentral's name for it is "bacterial SSU rRNA". It matches the Rfam family "Bacterial small subunit ribosomal RNA", at positions 140 to 810 of the family's 1533-position model. The record is from RNAcentral.
GGGAUAACAUUCUGAAAAGAAUGCUAAUAUCGCAUGACAUAUCGGAACCACAUGGUUUUGAUAUCAAAGAUUUUAUCGCUUGAAGAUGGACUCGCGUCCGAUUAGUUAGUUGGUGAGGUAACGGCUCACCAAGACCGCGAUCGGUAGCCGGACUGAGAGGUUGAACGGCCACAUUGGGACUGAGACACGGCCCAGACUCCUACGGGAGGCAGCAGUGGGGGAUAUUGCGCAAUGGGGGCAACCCUGACGCAGCAACGCCGCGUGAAGGAUGAAGGUUUUCGGAUUGUAAACUUCUUUUAUUAAGGACGAAAAAUGACGGUACUUAAUGAAUAAGCUCCGGCUAACUACGUGCCAGCAGCCGCGGUAAUACGUAGGGAGCAAGCGUUGUCCGGAUUUACUGGGUGUAAAGGGUGCGUAGGCGGCUUUGCAAGUCAGAUGUGAAAUCUAUGGGCUCAACCCAUAAACUGCAUUUGAAACUGUAGAGCUUGAGUGAAGUAGAGGCAGGCGGAAUUCCCCGUGUAGCGGUGAAAUGCGUAGAGAUGGGGAGGAACACCAGUGGCGAAGGCGGCCUGCUGGGCUUUAACUGACGCUGAGGCACGAAAGCGUGGGUAGCAAACAGGAUUAGAUACCCUGGUAGUCCACGCUGUAAACGAU